UUAAGCGACUAAGCGUACACGGUGGAUGCCCUGGCAGUCAGAGGCGAUGAAGGACGUGCUAAUCUGCGAUAAGCGUCGGUAAGGUGAUAUGAACCGUUAUAACCGGCGAUUUCCGAAUGGGGAAACCCAGUGUGUUUCGACACACUAUCAUUAACUGAAUCCAUAGGUUAAUGAGGCGAACCGGGGGAACUGAAACAUCUAAGUACCCCGAGGAAAAGAAAUCAACCGAGAUUCCCCCAGUAGCGGCGAGCGAACGGGGAGGAGCCCAGAGCCUGAAUCAGUAUGUGUGUUAGUGGAAGCGUCUGGAAAGGCGCGCGAUACAGGGUGACAGCCCCGUACACAAAAAUGCACAUGCUGUGAGCUCGAUGAGUAGGGCGGGACACGUGGUAUCCUGUCUGAAUAUGGGGGGACCAUCCUCCAAGGCUAAAUACUCCUGACUGACCGAUAGUGAACCAGUACCGUGAGGGAAAGGCGAAAAGAACCCCGGCGAGGGGAGUGAAAAAGAACCUGAAACCGUGUACGUACAAGCAGUGGGAGCACGCUUAGGCGUGUGACUGCGUACCUUUUGUAUAAUGGGUCAGCGACUUAUAUUCUGUAGCAAGGUUAACCGAAUAGGGGAGCCGAAGGGAAACCGAGUCUUAACUGGGCGUUAAGUUGCAGGGUAUAGACCCGAAACCCGGUGAUCUAGCCAUGGGCAGGUUGAAGGUUGGGUAACACUAACUGGAGGACCGAACCGACUAAUGUUGAAAAAUUAGCGGAUGACUUGUGGCUGGGGGUGAAAGGCCAAUCAAACCGGGAGAUAGCUGGUUCUCCCCGAAAGCUAUUUAGGUAGCGCCUCGUGAAUUCAUCUCCGGGGGUAGAGCACUGUUUCGGCAAGGGGGUCAUCCCGACUUACCAACCCGAUGCAAACUGCGAAUACCGGAGAAUGUUAUCACGGGAGACACACGGCGGGUGCUAACGUCCGUCGUGAAGAGGGAAACAACCCAGACCGCCAGCUAAGGUCCCAAAGUCAUGGUUAAGUGGGAAACGAUGUGGGAAGGCCCAGACAGCCAGGAUGUUGGCUUAGAAGCAGCCAUCAUUUAAAGAAAGCGUAAUAGCUCACUGGUCGAGUCGGCCUGCGCGGAAGAUGUAACGGGGCUAAACCAUGCACCGAAGCUGCGGCAGCGACGCUUAUGCGUUGUUGGGUAGGGGAGCGUUCUGUAAGCCUGUGAAGGUGUGCUGUGAGGCAUGCUGGAGGUAUCAGAAGUGCGAAUGCUGACAUAAGUAACGAUAAAGCGGGUGAAAAGCCCGCUCGCCGGAAGACCAAGGGUUCCUGUCCAACGUUAAUCGGGGCAGGGUGAGUCGACCCCUAAGGCGAGGCCGAAAGGCGUAGUCGAUGGGAAACAGGUUAAUAUUCCUGUACUUGGUGUUACUGCGAAGGGGGGACGGAGAAGGCUAUGUUGGCCGGGCGACGGUUGUCCCGGUUUAAGCGUGUAGGCUGGUUUUCCAGGCAAAUCCGGAAAAUCAAGGCUGAGGCGUGAUGACGAGGCACUACGGUGCUGAAGCAACAAAUGCCCUGCUUCCAGGAAAAGCCUCUAAGCAUCAGGUAACAUCAAAUCGUACCCCAAACCGACACAGGUGGUCAGGUAGAGAAUACCAAGGCGCUUGAGAGAACUCGGGUGAAGGAACUAGGCAAAAUGGUGCCGUAACUUCGGGAGAAGGCACGCUGAUAUGUAGGUGAAGUCCCUUGCGGAUGGAGCUGAAAUCAGUCGAAGAUACCAGCUGGCUGCAACUGUUUAUUAAAAACACAGCACUGUGCAAACACGAAAGUGGACGUAUACGGUGUGACGCCUGCCCGGUGCCGGAAGGUUAAUUGAUGGGGUUAGCGGUAACGCGAAGCUCUUGAUCGAAGCCCCGGUAAACGGCGGCCGUAACUAUAACGGUCCUAAGGUAGCGAAAUUCCUUGUCGGGUAAGUUCCGACCUGCACGAAUGGCGUAAUGAUGGCCAGGCUGUCUCCACCCGAGACUCAGUGAAAUUGAACUCGCUGUGAAGAUGCAGUGUACCCGCGGCAAGACGGAAAGACCCCGUGAACCUUUACUAUAGCUUGACACUGAACAUUGAGCCUUGAUGUGUAGGAUAGGUGGGAGGCUUUGAAGUGUGGACGCCAGUCUGCAUGGAGCCGACCUUGAAAUACCACCCUUUAAUGUUUGAUGUUCUAACGUGGACCCGUAAUCCGGGUUGCGGACAGUGUCUGGUGGGUAGUUUGACUGGGGCGGUCUCCUCCUAAAGAGUAACGGAGGAGCACGAAGGUUGGCUAAUCCUGGUCGGACAUCAGGAGGUUAGUGCAAUGGCAUAAGCCAGCUUGACUGCGAGCGUGACGGCGCGAGCAGGUGCGAAAGCAGGUCAUAGUGAUCCGGUGGUUCUGAAUGGAAGGGCCAUCGCUCAACGGAUAAAAGGUACUCCGGGGAUAACAGGCUGAUACCGCCCAAGAGUUCAUAUCGACGGCGGUGUUUGGCACCUCGAUGUCGGCUCAUCACAUCCUGGGGCUGAAGUAGGUCCCAAGGGUAUGGCUGUUCGCCAUUUAAAGUGGUACGCGAGCUGGGUUUAGAACGUCGUGAGACAGUUCGGUCCCUAUCUGCCGUGGGCGCUGGAGAACUGAGGGGGGCUGCUCCUAGUACGAGAGGACCGGAGUGGACGCAUCACUGGUGUUCGGGUUGUCAUGCCAAUGGCACUGCCCGGUAGCUAAAUGCGGAAGAGAUAAGUGCUGAAAGCAUCUAAGCACGAAACUUGCCCCGAGAUGAGUUCUCCCUGACCCUUUAAGGGUCCUGAAGGAACGUUGAAGACGACGACGUUGAUAGGCCGGGUGUGUAAGCGCAGCGAUGCGUUGAGCUAACCGGUACUAAUGAACCGUGAGGCUUAACCUU
RNAcentral lists this ribosomal RNA (2904 nucleotides) under Escherichia coli. Its description in RNAcentral is "23S ribosomal RNA". It matches the Rfam family "Bacterial large subunit ribosomal RNA". Lineage: Bacteria; Pseudomonadati; Pseudomonadota; Gammaproteobacteria; Enterobacterales; Enterobacteriaceae. The record is from RNAcentral.